Molecule: ribosomal RNA, 382 nt
Filed under: uncultured eukaryote
Lineage: Eukaryota
Description: partial 18S ribosomal RNA
Rfam family: Eukaryotic small subunit ribosomal RNA
Source: RNAcentral
CAAUAGCGUAUAUUAAAGUUGUUGCAGUUAAAAAGCUCGUAGUUGGAUUUCUGGUGAGAUGGAUUAUGUCUAGGUCGAAAGAUCUUGUUCAUGGUUCGUUUUGCCCUUCUUGUCAGGAACCCGCAGAGAUUCGCGUCUUGUCGGUGGAAUGGCAUCGUUUACUGUGAAAAAAUUAGAGUGUUCAAAGCAGGCAUCGCCGUUGAAUACAUUAGCAUGGAAUAAUAAGAUAAGACUUUGGUGGUCUAUUUUGUUGGUUUGCACGCCAAAGUAAUGAUUAAUAGGGAUAGUUGGGGGUAUUCGUAUUCUAUUGCUAGAGGUGAAAUUCUUAAAUUUAUGGAAGACGAACUACUGCGAAAGCAUUUACCAAGGAUGUUUUCAUUAA